AUAACAAGGAACCACACUGAAGGAUCGACCAUACACCCUGAAGCUCGUCUGCGUUUAUAAUGAACAUCCAACGGUUCAGUAUGUUACUAUAAGCUUUCCGUAUCGAAAUAAAUUCAACGCGAGUGAAAAGUUCCUCCGGUUUGCUAUUGUUAAUAACUUUCAGCGGAAUCGUCGGCAUGAUACAACGAAACGUAUGAAAAAAACAUCAUCAAAAAUAGCAUAUAAACGUUAUUACGGCAUUACUACGGGACAACGUAGGAAAGGAAACUGAUGGGUUUUCGUUACCUGGAGGCGUAUCACUUGAUCGUUUUUUGUGGCUGGACGAAGCAGAUGCUGUAAACAGUGAAUACCAAUUGCUCAGCUUUAAUCCAUCGAAGGAAAUAACACUAACAAACAACAAAAGUGUUGCUAGUGAAUAACACGCUUCCAAACAAUAAUGAAAAUCCCGCAUGGGCCAUUAUGGGCCGAAGUCAACAAGCGCAGACGAGAGAUAUGGGGAAAGAUGUCUUCAAAGUCUUCAGUAUUUAUUUACUAUAAAUACCAUGUUUAUUCAUUGCAAAAUAUGAACUAGGUGAUCAACCGGUUCCACUUGGUGUUAGCCUUCAAGCUCGAUAUGUGGCUCUCCGCAUUAACAGCUACUGCAACGCUUCCAUUUAUUUGUUGGUUAUUUUCCAGGUAUUUAUAUGUACAUAUAUUGUGUUCCUA
This is a long non-coding RNA of Varroa destructor (honeybee mite), 705 nucleotides long. RefSeq lists it as uncharacterized. Lineage: Eukaryota; Metazoa; Arthropoda; Arachnida; Mesostigmata; Varroidae. The record is from RefSeq and is a predicted model, not a curated record.